UCUCGUAGUGUAGCGGUUAACACGCCUGCCUGUCACGCAGGAGAUCGCGGGUUCGAUUCCCGUCGCAGAG
Molecule: transfer RNA, 70 nt
Filed under: Staphylococcus aureus
Lineage: Bacteria; Bacillati; Bacillota; Bacilli; Caryophanales; Staphylococcaceae
Description: tRNA-Asp
Rfam family: tRNA (bases 4-65)
About the family: Transfer RNA (tRNA) molecules are approximately 80 nucleotides in length. Their secondary structure includes four short double-helical elements and three loops (D, anti-codon, and T loops). Further hydrogen bonds mediate the characteristic L-shaped molecular structure. tRNAs have two regions of fundamental functional importance: the anti-codon, which is responsible for specific mRNA codon recognition, and the 3' end, to which the tRNAs corresponding amino acid is attached (by aminoacyl-tRNA synthetases). tRNAs cope with the degeneracy of the genetic code in two manners: having more than one tRNA (with a specific anti-codon) for a particular amino acid; and 'wobble' base-pairing, i.e. permitting non-standard base-pairing at the 3rd anti-codon position.
Source: RNAcentral